This 540-nucleotide ribosomal RNA is filed under the name uncultured Desulfuromonadales bacterium. Its description in RNAcentral is "bacterial SSU rRNA". It matches the Rfam family "Bacterial small subunit ribosomal RNA", at positions 9 to 526 of the family's 1533-position model. Lineage: Bacteria; Pseudomonadati; Thermodesulfobacteriota; Desulfuromonadia; Desulfuromonadales. The record is from RNAcentral.
GAGUUUGAUCCUGGUUCAGAACGAACGCUGGCGGCGUGCCUAACACAUGCAAGUCGAACGGGGAUAGAUAGCUUGCUAUUUAUUCUAGUGGCGCACGGGUGAGUAACGCGUAGAUAAUCUGCCUUGGACUCUGGGAUAACAUUUCGAAAGGGGUGCUAAUACCGGAUAAGCCCACGGGGACGUAAGUUCUUGCGGGAAAAGGGGGCCUCUGCAUAUGCUCUUGAUCCAAGAUGAGUCUGCGUACCAUUAGCUAGUUGGUAGGGUAAGAGCCUACCAAGGCGACGGUGGUUAGCUGGUCUGAGAGGAUGAUCAGCCACACUGGAACUGAGACACGGUCCAGACUCCUACGGGAGGCAGCAGUGGGGAAUUUUGCGCAAUGGGGGAAACCCUGACGCAGCAACACCGCGUGAGUGAUGAAGGCUUUCGGGUCGUAAAGCUCUGUCUAGAGGGAAGAAAUGAUAUUGGGUUAAUACCCUGAUUUCUUGACGGUACCUCUGAAGGAAGCACCGGCUAACUCCGUGCCAGCAGCCGCGGUAAUAC